RNAcentral lists this ribosomal RNA (526 nucleotides) under uncultured Gammaproteobacteria bacterium. Its description in RNAcentral is "bacterial SSU rRNA". It matches the Rfam family "Bacterial small subunit ribosomal RNA", at positions 872 to 1397 of the family's 1533-position model. The record is from RNAcentral. Lineage: Bacteria; Pseudomonadati; Pseudomonadota; Gammaproteobacteria.
CCUGGGGAGUGCGGCCGCAAGGUUAAAACUCAAAGGAAUUGACGGGGGCCCGCACAAGCGGUGGAGCAUGUGGUUUAAUUCGAUGCAACGCGAAGAACCUUACCAGGCCUUGACAUCNUGAGAACCCUUUAGAGAUAGAGGGGUGCCUUCGGGAACUCAGUGACAGGUGCUGCAUGGCUGUCGUCAGCUUGUGUCGUGAGAUGUUGGGUUAAGUCCCGUAACGAGCGCAACCCUUGUCNUUAGUUGCCAGCACGUAAUGGUGGGAACUCUAGGGAGACUGCCGGUGACAAACCGGAGGAAGGCGGGGANGACGUCAAGUCAUCAUGGCCCUUACGGCCUGGGCUACACACGUGCUACAAUGGAACGCACAAAGGGCUGCAAAUGCGCGAGCAGGAGCGAAUCCCACAAAACGUUUNGUAGUCCGGAUUGGAGUCUGCAACUCGANUCCAUGAAGUCGGAAUCGCUAGUAAUCGUGAAUCAGAAUGUCNCGGUGAAUACGUUCCCGGGCCUUGNACACACUGCCCGU